CCUGCCUUGCAGGCAGAUUCUUUACCAUCUGAGCCACCAGGGAAGCCCCUCUUUGAGUAAUCCCCCAACAAAUGACUCAAAGCCUUCUCCAGCAGUUGGACCGUUUGCUAGCAGCAACUGUAACAGUGAAGAACAAACCUGACUUCAUAUUGAAUCUAUUCCUUUGGCUCUAACCUUUGUGUUCUGUCCUGUGCUUAGUCACAAUGGCUCUGCAUCUUUUGUAAAAGGUUGUUGCCUAUAACCUGAAAUAUGCAGGCUAUCCCCUUCUCAAGGCUCUGAUCUUUAAAGGUAUAACAUGCUUCCAUUCAUAAGGCAAGAGAAAGUUGCAGAACAGAGAAUAACAUUUGUCCUGUUGGAGGUUUAUGGGAACUUUGUGACCUGACCCACAUGAACAGUUGCAAGAACAAAGGAUUCUGGUGCCAAGAAGUUUGCAACAACCAGCCAUGCCCCACCUCCUCUUUUAGGAUAAAAGAAACCUGAAUUCUAACUCGAGUUAGGUGGUUCUUUGGAACACUCGUCCACCAUCUUCUCUGCCUGCAGGCUUUCCAAAUAAAGUUGCUGUUCCUUGGCCCAGAACCUCCUCUCUCGAUUUAUUGGCCUGUUUUGUGUGUGAGCAGUAUGAACUUGGACUCCAUAACACAACCCUAGCCCUUCCCACUCUCUCUCUGAUAAUUCAAGUGAGCAUUUAUCCAGCACCUCCUAGACCAGAUAAGGCAAAAAUCAGGUCUUCUGGGAGAAAAGCUGUUUCCAGAGCUGCCUCAGAACACUUAUGCCAGUUGCUUCAACAGAACAAAAAUCCAGUGGGAGCAAGGCCAUGAGCUUAUCUGCUCCAGUGAGCAGGCCUGACUCCCUGCAGGCCUCCGCAGAAGUGCUGACUCAGCUUCCCUGCUGAGUUCUGCCUUAAGGGUGAGUCUGGGAGGACAGUUCCUAUGCAAAAUCCAGGCCCAGGCAGGCAAGGGUAGGGAGGCCAUGGAAACCAGGGCAACUGGACUCUGUUUAUCUUUUGCUUUUUUUUUUUUUAAGUGACAGUUAAAAAUAACUUUUGCUUAAGUAAUAAAUAUGUGUUUCUUAUCGAAACCCCAAGCUAAAAAAUAAAAGUGCAAAUAAAAGAAUAAAAUCAUCUUUAAUUUCUCCACACAGUUAAACUCUGCCAACACUUCGGUAAAGAAAGGUGUUUUUUUUUGUCUUUUUAAAUGUGAAAUAUAAUGUAAUGCAUGCUCAUUGUAAAUUUUUUUCAAAUGUCAAAUCUAUUUAAAGUUAAAGGGAAGUUCUCUUCUUCACCACUUCCCUCCUUCGAAACCAAAUCCCACAACUCAUUGUAAUGAGUAACAGUUUAGCUGUAUCCUGCUAGAUCUUUUCCUAUGCAGUGAAAAAAGUGAAAGUGUUAGACAUGUCC
This 1396-nucleotide long non-coding RNA is filed under the name Capra hircus (goat). Its description in RNAcentral is "lncRNA (ENSCHIG00010027972.1)". Lineage: Eukaryota; Metazoa; Chordata; Mammalia; Artiodactyla; Bovidae. The record is from RNAcentral.